CUACGGGGCGCUGCAGUGGGGAAUAUUGCGCAAUGGGCGAAAGCCUGACGCAGCAACGCCGUGUGAGGGAUGAAGGCUUUCGGGUCGUAAACCUCUGUCAGAAGGGAAGAACGGGUAUUGGUCUAAUAGGCCUUUAUUUUGACGGUACCUUCAGAGGAAGCACCGGCUAACUCCGUGCCAGCAGCCGCGGUAAUACGGAGGGUGCAAGCGUUAUUCGGAAUCACUGGGCGUAAAGCGCACGUAGGCCGCUUUGUAAGUCAGGGGUGAAAUCCCACGGCUCAACCGUGGAACUGCCUUUGAAACUGCAGAGCUCGAAUCCUGGAGAGGGUGGCGGAAUUCCUGGUGUAGGAGUGAAAUCCGUAGAUAUCAGGAGGAACACCGGUGGCGAAGGCGGCCACCUGGACAGGUAUUGACGCUGAGGUGCGAAAGUGUGGGGAGCAAACAGGAUUAGAUACCCGCGUAGUC
This 465-nucleotide ribosomal RNA is filed under the name uncultured bacterium. RNAcentral's name for it is "partial 16S ribosomal RNA". It matches the Rfam family "Bacterial small subunit ribosomal RNA", at positions 339 to 795 of the family's 1533-position model. The record is from RNAcentral.